Long non-coding RNA from Oncorhynchus tshawytscha (Chinook salmon), 645 nucleotides. RefSeq lists it as uncharacterized. The transcript is spliced from 3 exons. The record is from RefSeq and is a predicted model, not a curated record. NCBI's taxonomy places the organism in Eukaryota, Metazoa, Chordata, Actinopteri, Salmoniformes, Salmonidae.
CCUGAACCCACCCAUAACAUUGCUGUCCCGCCCACCCCAAACUGGAAAAAUGUCGACAGCUGUCUUGUGGCUCUCACGGAACCUCGUAUCGAGGAAUACGGGGGUAGUAAGCCGUAACAUCGUCUUGAAACCGUCUAACACAGCGAGACUGAACCAAUGUCGAAAUGUGGUAUCAACAGCAAAUGGCGGUGUUCAACCGAAGCCGGAUAAAAUAUCCUUCGGCCUUAUCCGCAUGACUGCUGUCGUGAUUCCCUUCCUGUACGUGGGAACUCUGAUCAGCAAGAACUUUGCGGCUCUACUUGAGGAGCAUGACAUCUUCGUCCCCGAGGAUGAUGACGAUGACGACUGAACCUAGGGUGCUUUGCAAUAAUGAUGGCAUGCCACGCCACUAUGAGGAAGGAGAGAGAGAUGCCCCCUACAGGAGAAGAUUGCCCUCAUCGUGAUCCACCUCCCCAUCGCCUUUUUUCUCUCUCUUUCCUCCCUUUUAGUCCCACUUUCACCUCCUUGCCACGGAUUACUACAUAUUAUUUGAUAUCAUUGUGAGGUCACAGCACAGUCAGACUUCACUUUUGCAUGUGUCUUAUUAUUUACUCAAUAAAGAGUCUACGUGUGUAAAAAAUAAAUAAUAAAAAUAACAACACAUUU